RNAcentral lists this ribosomal RNA (590 nucleotides) under uncultured bacterium. RNAcentral's name for it is "bacterial SSU rRNA". It matches the Rfam family "Bacterial small subunit ribosomal RNA", at positions 338 to 915 of the family's 1533-position model. The record is from RNAcentral.
CCUACGGGAGGCAGCAGUGGGGAAUUUUGGACAAUGGGGGCAACCCUGAUCCAGCCAUUCCGCGUGAGUGAAGAAGGCCUUCGGGUUGUAAAGCUCUUUCGCAAGGGAAGAAAACUUAUGAUCGAAUAAAUCAUGAGGUUGACGGUACCUUGAUAAGAAGCACCGGCUAACUACGUGCCAGCAGCCGCGGUAAUACGCAGGGUGCGAGCGUUAAUCGGAAUUACUGGGCGUAAAGCGUGCGCAGGCGGUUUUGUAAGUCGGAUGUGAAAUCCCCGGGCUCAACCUGGGAACUGCGUUCGAAACUGCAAGGGCUAGAGUGUGUCAGAGGGGGGGUAGAAGUUCCACGUGUAGCAGUGAAAUGCGUAGAGAUGUGGAGGAAUACCAAUGGCGAAGGCAGCCCCCUGAGAUAACACUGACGCUCAUGCACGAAAGCGUGGGGAGCAAACAGGAUUAGAUACCCUGGUAGUCCACGCCCUAAACGACUGUCAACUAGUUAGUUGGUAGAGUAAAAUCUAUGAGUAACGUAGCUAACGCGUGAAGUUGACAGCCUGGGGAGUACGGUGCAAGNUUAAAACUCAAAGGAAUUGAGG